GCUAGUGUAGCUUAAAUAAAGCAUAACACUGAAGAUGUUAAGAGUAAGCCCUAGAAAGCUUCACUGGCA
RNAcentral lists this transfer RNA (69 nucleotides) under Proterorhinus semilunaris (tubenose goby). RNAcentral describes it as "tRNA-Phe". It matches the Rfam family "tRNA". From Rfam's summary of the family: Transfer RNA (tRNA) molecules are approximately 80 nucleotides in length. Their secondary structure includes four short double-helical elements and three loops (D, anti-codon, and T loops). Lineage: Eukaryota; Metazoa; Chordata; Actinopteri; Gobiiformes; Gobiidae. The record is from RNAcentral.